GCUGUACAUGAUGAAAGUAGUCUCCCUCUUUUGAACCUUGGUCAGGAAGCUGCCUGCCACCUUCUGAA
Molecule: small nucleolar RNA, 68 nt
Filed under: Mus pahari (shrew mouse)
Lineage: Eukaryota; Metazoa; Chordata; Mammalia; Rodentia; Muridae
Description: snoRNA (MGP_PahariEiJ_G0034465.1)
Source: RNAcentral